CGAUCGAGGCGAUUCUGGUGGCGUUGGAAAGCUUGUUCCGAGAGCUUUCUUUUGACACCAAUUUUGAAGCAAAUUGAGGUCGGAUGAGUGAGAUAUGGAGGAGAGAAGUUUCGGAUUUUUCAAGCUUUUUCGUCAGAUCUACGACGAUCCGACCGUUGGAUCGACGAUCCGAGACCACAUAUGGACUGAGGAAGAGGAGAGGAACAUGGUAGUAUGAUUAGAUCCGGCAAAUGUCGCCGGCGACAGGCGGCCGACCACCAUGCGCGGUGGUUCCGGCGGUGGCUCCGGUGGGCAAUGGAGAUGAUUCAACUUCCAGAGGCUUCCUCAUAAAUUUUUGGAAUUUUUGAGACACAGAUAAACUUCGGGCCACAGGAGGAGUUAUUUUACAGAGCAACCUGUUUUCUUCCUCGCAGGUUUAACGUCGAUUAUUUAAUUGUAUUAUUAUUCUCUAAAUUUGUAAUUUAGGACUCCGCAUGUGCUAGUAGUAGCAUUAAGCCUGUCAGGGACUGUAUGAAUUCAAGUUUUUGUAUUAAUAAAUGGAAAGAAAAAUUUUAUGAGUUUUAAA
Hevea brasiliensis (rubber tree) is the source of this 565-nucleotide long non-coding RNA. RefSeq lists it as uncharacterized. NCBI's taxonomy places the organism in Eukaryota, Viridiplantae, Streptophyta, Magnoliopsida, Malpighiales, Euphorbiaceae. The transcript is spliced from 2 exons. The record is from RefSeq and is a predicted model, not a curated record.